This is a long non-coding RNA of Sciurus carolinensis (gray squirrel), 985 nucleotides long. RefSeq lists it as uncharacterized. NCBI's taxonomy places the organism in Eukaryota, Metazoa, Chordata, Mammalia, Rodentia, Sciuridae. The transcript has 3 exons. The record is from RefSeq and is a predicted model, not a curated record.
GAAAUAUCUUGACACACAGAUCAUUGUGACUUUAGUGGAGCAACUCCUUCAAAGGAAUGCCUAGAGUGUGACUCAGGAACCACCUACUUGGAGUUGCCAGAGUGCUCAAUAAACACUGUCCUGAAAGUUUGAGGUAAAGGAAAUCAGAUCAGAGAGCAUUUCUCCUUCAGUAUCUAAUGAAAUGGACCCAAAAUAUUGUGUUUUAAGAGACCAAAAAUUCAUCAGUAGAAAUCAAGACUGAAAAAAGAGAAAACUCCAGGUGGUUAACAACUAGAAGAUGUGUUGAAUUCUGCAAUCAAAUUGGUAUAGUGAUAACGAGCAGUGUGAGAUGCGGAAUCAAAGGACAUGUGGGAAAAGACAUCUGGCUUCUUUGUAGAUUUCCAGAGAUCUGAUUGUGCCAUGUAUUUGCCAACUGCUUUAUUUAGUAAAUAUUAAGGUCUAAGUAAAUAUGAAAUCUUUCAGUUUGUAGAAUUUCCAAUGGCUGUUUCUGUAGGAGCAUAAAAGUGGAAGUUAGUGUGCAGAGGAAUGUACCAGGACCAUGUACUUUGUAGUAAAUAAUGUAACCCUGUCCCUAUUCCACCUCAAUGUCAGACAUGGGCUGUGACUACUUUGCUCAUUGGUUCAAGGUCUACUGGUGUAUAUUCUUUGCAUCCCCUUUCUACCAAUACUAGGCUCAAUCCUCCCAAAGGACACACUGUUCUAUUUCCCAGGAUAUCCACCAUGUAACUAACUCUCUGUGACCCAGGGCAAUUUUCUCUUUUGCUUGUUUCUGAAAUCUUAGUUACACCUAUCUCCCUUAAUGGCAAUGUCCUUAUAGAGUAGCCCUCAUACCUUGGGCUGCUAAAAAGUGUUAGGUUUUACAGGUGCACAAAGCCCUGUUUUGUUAUUCCUUGUUUCAGUUGACGGUAUCACCAUCUACCUGGUCAUUCAGGCUACAAUCCAACAUUGUUGCUUUGACUAUUUGUGAUUUUAGCAUCCAAGAACU